GACGAACGCUGGCGGCGUGCUUAACACAUGCAAGUCGAACGGAAAGGCCCUGCUUUUGUGGGGUGCUCGAGUGGCGAACGGGUGAGUAACACGUGAGUAACCUGCCCUUGACUUUGGGAUAACUUCAGGAAACUGGGGCUAAUACCGGAUAGGAGCUCCUGCUGCAUGGUGGGGGUUGGAAAGUUUCGGCGGUUGGGGAUGGACUCGCGGCUUAUCAGCUUGUUGGUGGGGUAGUGGCUUACCAAGGCUUUGACGGGUAGCCGGCCUGAGAGGGUGACCGGCAACAUUGGGAGUGAGGUACGGCCCAGACUCCUACGGGAGGCGGCAGUGGGGAAUAUUGCACAAUGGGCGGAAGCCUGAUGCAGCAACGCCGCGUGCGGGAUGACGGCCUUCGGGUUGUAGACCGCUUUCGCCUGUGACGAAGCGUGAGUGACGGUAAUGAGUAAAGAAGCACCGGCUAACUA
RNAcentral lists this ribosomal RNA (464 nucleotides) under uncultured bacterium. Its description in RNAcentral is "partial 16S ribosomal RNA". It matches the Rfam family "Bacterial small subunit ribosomal RNA", at positions 28 to 503 of the family's 1533-position model. The record is from RNAcentral.